This is a long non-coding RNA of Pieris napi, 1634 nucleotides long. RefSeq lists it as uncharacterized. The transcript has 4 exons. The record is from RefSeq and is a predicted model, not a curated record. Lineage: Eukaryota; Metazoa; Arthropoda; Insecta; Lepidoptera; Pieridae.
UUGACGGUUAAGAGGGUGCAGCCGUGAGAAGGCGAGAUUUCGAUAUUUUAGUGACUUUUGACAUGCUACUUUUCACAUAAUCGAAGCUUAUUAAAUAAAGAAAUGUACAAUUAUGUAAACAUAAAGUCUUAUAGAAGUGUACUGCAAAGGAAAAUUUUGGUAUUUAAUAGUACAUCUUUGUUUAAUUUGUCAUUUCUUAAAAGCAAAAUUUCAAAAGCGCUCGUCAGAGCUCACUUUGAGAUAUGAAAUUACCAUUAAGCUAUGUAAAUACAUUUUUUUAAAUAUUUUCGUAGGACAGAAUAUAUAGUCUAUUGGUGAACCACAGCGGAAAAUAUUAAAAAUUAUAUAUUUUAAUAAUUACGCACCCAUUUUUAUAAAUGACUUAUUAUACGAUUUUGGAAACAGCUUUUGAUGAGAAAAGCCCGAUUUUAUUCGUUAAAACUAUUUUGUAUCGAUUAACUGAGGAUGAAUAAAUAAUAAAAGUAAAUUUACAUAAUUAUUAUACGACGAUAGUUAUUACAAACUAUUAUUGAAAAUGGCCUAUAUAAUUACGCGCACGGGCGAAUGUGAUUUAGUACGCGCCGGGUCAUCCCAGAGGGUGGACGUAUCGCUCAUUUCCCGCGCGUCUAAAAGUUGAUUGACCUUACGUACGACCGAGGUUCAAAAGGAGUAUAGUGCGUCAUUGGAUUUGAUACUUUAGCAUGGGUAACAAACGCAAAAAAUAUAGUUGCAGUAGAAAUGCGAAGUCUGCAGCGAACGCCAGGCAAUCAAAAAGGAGAAAGAUUAACGAGGAAAAAAACCAACGUACUCAUGAAUCUCCUGACAAUAACGACUCCUGUGUUGAUUCAAAAAAUAAUAAUCGUGACAAUGUAAGUAUUUACUAUCAGCUAGUAUAAUUAGCUAUUCAUACUUAAAUUUAAAUCAGUAUAUAUUUAGCAGUCAUCUGGGUAAAUUAAUCAGUAAAUUAGAGGCUUUUACUAAACCCCGGUUUCCAAUUAAAUCAUUGUCUAAUAACCAGCCAAGUAAUUGAGCGCAAUAUUAAACCAGAUGGCUGAAUGUCGUGUAGUCAUUUAUAUUAAAUCAGAUACCUAUUUAUGGAUUUGUGAUGUUUGGGUAAGGUGACCAAGUAAGUUGUACGCAAUGUAACUUGGAGGUAUCUCCAAGUUUUCCUACUAUUUUAUUAUUAUUUAAAAUAAAAUGUUAAUCCAGUUCUUUAUUUUUUUUAAUAGGAAUUAUUUGAUGCACUCAUAUCGGAUCUGGAAAAAAUAGAUGAGAAAAAACAAAAUAUACAUUUAGAAGAAACGGCAAAUAUUGAAGAGUUUGAAUUGGAAGUGGAGCCACAAAAACAUACCAUUCCUCCAUAUCAAAUUAUAGGAAGAAGGAUUGUUGAUUUCAUGUAUUUCUUUGAUCAAAUCAAAAUCGUAGCUAACCAUAAUCCUGGACUCGGUUGUUCAAUAAGUAAUGUUGAAAUUGUCAAAGAAAUACUUAAUGGCUUAGAAUCGACAAUCCACUUCAAAUGUACAAUGUGUAACAAGAAAUUUAAUGUCACACUAUGCAAUAAUAAUUUUCCAAAAGAGAUGACCACAAACCAUGCUGCAGUGACUGUUUGUAAAUAAUAAAAUCUAAAAAUGUAA